GUGACAGCUAUCAGUGACAAGAGAGCUUUUCACUUGUUUCCCAGCUUUGGAUAAACGGGCCACAUUGAAACUAAUAUUGACGUCCUGGACGUCAAUGUGACAAGAGGGAAAUUUUCCAGUCGCGGAGAUGAUAAGAGUGUGGCAGAUCACGUUGACAGUCGGUGAAUGAAGAUGUUGGGUUGCUCAGACAUGCUACACUUGGACUGGACAAGCAUCCAGAGAAUAAUCUGCGGAAUGAUCGGAACAGGUUGAGAAUUUCCUCCGCAUUCAAACCUUUUGUCACCUUCGGGUGUAUCGAACCGGGACGGCUGGCGUUGAAUGAUGCCGUUUCGGCGCCGAUGACAUCGAUAGACG
Long non-coding RNA from Corythoichthys intestinalis (scribbled pipefish), 354 nucleotides. RefSeq lists it as uncharacterized. NCBI's taxonomy places the organism in Eukaryota, Metazoa, Chordata, Actinopteri, Syngnathiformes, Syngnathidae. The record is from RefSeq and is a predicted model, not a curated record. The transcript has 3 exons.